This is a small nuclear RNA of Arabidopsis thaliana (thale cress), 101 nucleotides long. The record is from RefSeq. Lineage: Eukaryota; Viridiplantae; Streptophyta; Magnoliopsida; Brassicales; Brassicaceae.
CAGUCUCCGGUCAUCUUUAUGUGAAGAAGGAAGAGCCAAGUCAAAAAGUCAAAGAGAAUUGUGGGGUUAUUAGGAUGACACGUGUAAUUAUUGGCACCGGC